RNAcentral lists this ribosomal RNA (1446 nucleotides) under uncultured organism. RNAcentral's name for it is "SSU rRNA". It matches the Rfam family "Bacterial small subunit ribosomal RNA". The record is from RNAcentral.
AGGCCUAACACAUGCAAGUCGAGCGGUAGCACAGAGAGCUUGCUCUCGGGUGACGAGCGGCGGACGGGUGAGUAAUGUCUGGGAAACUGCCUGAUGGAGGGGGAUAACUACUGGAAACGGUAGCUAAUACCGCAUAACGUCGCAAGACCAAAGUGGGGGACCUUCGGGCCUCAUGCCAUCAGAUGUGCCCAGAUGGGAUUAGCUAGUAGGUGGGGUAAUGGCUCACCUAGGCGACGAUCCCUAGCUGGUCUGAGAGGAUGACCAGCCACACUGGAACUGAGACACGGUCCAGACUCCUACGGGAGGCAGCAGUGGGGAAUAUUGCACAAUGGGCGCAAGCCUGAUGCAGCCAUGCCGCGUGUAUGAAGAAGGCCUUCGGGUUGUAAAGUACUUUCAGCGAGGAGGAAGGCGUUAAGGUUAAUAACCUUGGCGAUUGACGUUACUCGCAGAAGAAGCACCGGCUAACUCCGUGCCAGCAGCCGCGGCAAUACGGAGGGUGCAAGCGUUAAUCGGAAUUACUGGGCGUAAAGCGCACGCAGGCGGUCUGUCAAGUCGGAUGUGAAAUCCCCGGGCUCAACCUGGGAACUGCAUUCGAAACUGGCAGGCUAGAGUCUUGUAGAGGGGGGUAGAAUUCCAGGUGUAGCGGUGAAAUGCGUAGAGAUCUGGAGGAAUACCGGUGGCGAAGGCGGCCCCCUGGACAAAGACUGACGCUCAGGUGCGAAAGCGUGGGGAGCAAACAGGAUUAGAUACCCUGGUAGUCCACGCCGUAAACGAUGUCGACUUGGAGGUUGUGCCCUUGAGGCGUGGCUUCCGGAGCUAACGCGUUAAGUCGACCGCCUGGGGAGUACGGCCGCAAGGUUAAAACUCAAAUGAAUUGACGGGGGCCCGCACAAGCGGUGGAGCAUGUGGUUUAAUUCGAUGCAACGCGAAGAACCUUACCUACUCUUGACAUCCAGAGAACUUAGCAGAGAUGCUUUGGUGCCUUCGGGAACUCUGAGACAGGUGCUGCAUGGCUGUCGUCAGCUCGUGUUGUGAAAUGUUGGGUUAAGUCCCGCAACGAGCGCAACCCUUAUCCUUUGUUGCCAGCGGUCCGGCCGGGAACUCAAAGGAGACUGCCAGUGAUAAACUGGAGGAAGGUGGGGAUGACGUCAAGUCAUCAUGGCCCUUACGAGUAGGGCUACACACGUGCUACAAUGGCAUAUACAAAGAGAAGCGACCUCGCGAGAGCAAGCGGACCUCAUAAAGUAUGUCGUAGUCCGGAUUGGAGUCUGCAACUCGACUCCAUGAAGUCGGAAUCGCUAGUAAUCGUAGAUCAGAAUGCUACGGUGAAUACGUUCCCGGGCCUUGUACACACCGCCCGUCACACCAUGGGAGUGGGUUGCAAAAGAAGUAGGUAGCUUAACCUUCGGGAGGGCGCUUACCACUUUGUGAUUCAUGACUGGGGUG